RNAcentral lists this ribosomal RNA (422 nucleotides) under uncultured bacterium. RNAcentral describes it as "bacterial SSU rRNA". It matches the Rfam family "Bacterial small subunit ribosomal RNA", at positions 355 to 774 of the family's 1533-position model. The record is from RNAcentral.
UAAGGAAUAUUGGACAAUGGAGGCAACUCUGAUCCAGCCAUGCCGCGUGAAGGAAUAAGGCCCUAUGGGUUGUAAACUUCUUUUAGACGGGACAAAACCCCUUUACGUGUAAAGGGUUGAUGGUACUGUCAGAAUAAGCAUCGGAUAACUUCGUGCCAGCAGCCGCGGUAAUACGAAGGAUGCAAGCGUUCUCCGGAAUUAUUGGGUUUAAAGGGUGCGUAGGCGGACUAAUAAGUCAGUGGUGAAAGCCUGCAGCUUAACUGCAGAAUUGCCAUUGAUACUGUUAGUCUUGAGUACAGUUGAGGUAGGCGGAAUGUGUCAUGUAGCGGUGAAAUGCUUAGAUAUGACACAGAACACCGAUUGCGAAGGCAGCUUGCUAAGCUGUAACUGACGCUGAGGCACGAAAGCGUGGGGAGCAAACA